AACGAACGCUGGCGGCAGGCCUAACACAUGCAAGUCGAACGAGAAGCUUUCUUCGGAGAGUGGAGAGUGGCGCACGGGUGAGUAACGCGUGGGGAUUUGCCUUCUGGUACGGGAUAACGUUUGGAAACGAACGCUAAUACCGUAUGAUAUCUACGGAUUAAAGAUUUAUCGCCAGGAGAUGAACCCGCGUAGGAUUAGAUAGUUGGUGGGGUAAUGGCCUACCAAGUCGACGAUCUUUAGCUGUUCUGAGAGGAAGAUCAGCCACACUGGAACUGAGACACGGUCCAG
RNAcentral lists this ribosomal RNA (288 nucleotides) under uncultured bacterium. Its description in RNAcentral is "partial 16S ribosomal RNA". It matches the Rfam family "Bacterial small subunit ribosomal RNA", at positions 29 to 334 of the family's 1533-position model. The record is from RNAcentral.